This is a long non-coding RNA of Oncorhynchus tshawytscha (Chinook salmon), 580 nucleotides long. Lineage: Eukaryota; Metazoa; Chordata; Actinopteri; Salmoniformes; Salmonidae. The record is from Ensembl.
AGUAUGGCUGUGGUUAUGGGUGGGCCCAGAUGAAAGCCCCUUGGUAAUAACCAGGUCCAGAGUAUGGCUGUGGUUAUGGGUGGGCCCAGUAGAAAGCCCCUUGGUAAUAACCAGGUCCAGAGUAUGGCUGUGGUUAUGGGUGGGCCCAGGAGAAAGACCCUUGGUAAUAACCAGGUCCAGAGUAUGGCUGUGGUUAUGGGUGGACCCAGAUGAAAGCCCCUUGGUAAUAACCAGGUCCAGAGUAUGGCUGUGGUUAUGGGUGGGCCCAGUAGAAAGCCCCUUGGUAAUAACCAGGUCCAGAGUAUGGCUGUGGUUAUGGUUGGGCCCAGUAGAAUGCCCCUUGGUAAUAACCAUGUCCAGAGUAUGGCUGUGGUUAUUGGUGGGCCCAGUAGAACGCCCCUUGGUAAUAACCAGGUCCAGAGUAUGGCUGUGGCUAUGGGUGGGCCCAGUAUAAAGCCGCUUGGUAAUAACCAGGUCCAGAGUAUGGCUGUGGUUAUGGGUGGGCCCAGUAGAAAGCCCCUUGGUAAUAACCAGGUCCAGAGUAUGGCUGUGGUUAUGGGUGGACCCAGUAGAAAGCCCC